AUCAUGACCCAAGCAGAAAUCAAGAGUCAGUUGCUUAACCAACUGAGCCACCCAGACAACCCCUCACUCCUGAUUCUUUUCAACAAAACACACACUGUGUUUGGAACUACCAGGGUGAAGCCUGAUGACUCAUCUCAUGGGGGAGCACCGCAUGAAUGCCGACAGAACAUCAGUAACCUCCCUGAAACAGUGGAUCUGGCAGAUUCAGAGUGGGGCUGAUGUCUCUGAAAUAAACAGCUCAGCUCUUCAGUCAAAGGCUGACACACUUACCUUCAUGUCAAUUCAGUUAGGUUGGCUUCAGGAACAACCACUGACUCUGACUCUGGUUUAUUUUUACAUAAAAGGUCCCUUCUAAAUGGUGGGCAUGCAUUCAGUCUUCUCCUUCAAUUCACACAACUCCCAGGGGACAAAUUAAUCCUCUGAGAAAAGCCUUCCUUGGGCAACUCCCCGUAACCCACCAUUGUUUCUUGGCAACCCACAGAAAAAAGCCUCAACCCACUGGCAAGAAGACUCAAGCUCCCCCAACAAAUUAGACUCAACCUACCACAGCCUAGGCCUUCUCUUCCACAACCCCAUCCUAAGUGUAUGCUUCUGGAUGUCUCCAGAUCCAUUUCACAGUGCUUUACCUCAAUCCCUCUUAAGGACAAUAACAGCAUUAAUUUAUCAGGUCCUAAAUCAACUACCUUUUGCCUCAUAGAGAUUAUAAACCUCCUCAAGUACCAGACUGUGUAUCAUACCUAUUUUCAACUCCACAACAUCUAACCGGCACGAGGUGAAGGAACUCACCUAACAGACCCAGUUUGUCUGGUAACCUCUUAAAAAUCAUCACUUCUAUAGCCUUCCAUGACAAAUUUGUACAAUGAAUUCAUACACUUUUUUUUUUUUUUUUUCCCGCCCAGGAUUCUAAUAUAAAGCCAAGGUCUAAAUUUUCGUAAAAUACAAUGGAAAAAAGAAAACUGAAUAUAAGAUCACACUCCUAAGUCUCUAUCGAGCAUAUUCUACUACCUGCUUGAGCUACAAACCUUGAGAAAAACAUACCAAUACUGCCUUGGCAGUGAAGUGGUUAAGCGACAGAGGCUAUGCUGACUGAAGGACUAGAACUGCAGUUCCGGCUCUGCAACUGUGUCACCUUGGGCAAGUCACUGAACUAAUCCACUAAUCCAUUUUUCACCUACCAAAUCGGGAUCAGAAAAGUUAUGCGGGGAGGAUUAAACAAGAGAUGUAUGCAAAGCGCUUACUGUAGGACCCCUGAAAUGCAUCCGGCCUUGACGUGAAGAAGACGUGACCUGCCCAUGGUCUUCCCCAGAGGUGACACCAAAAUUGUGAUCUGCACCCUGGGUCAGCCAAAAACCCAGUGGACAAGAAAGGACAGCUCGAAGUCUGGUGCGGUCAGCCUUUGCGGCUGGAAAAGCAUUCGCUCAUUCUUUCUUCUUUUGGGCCCUGCUACAGGGUCAAAAAUGCUACCAUCUCCAGACCUUUUACUCCCCAUUCUCGUCUUUUUCUCCCGACCAUUCCCGUUCACCAUCUGCUCCCUGCUUCAUUUCAUCUCUCCAGAGUCUACGCAGUCAUCCAAAGCUACAUCUUUCAGUAAGGAUGAUAACAAAUGAUUACUGAACAAAAACAUCCAUACAACCCUCAUUUGUUUGGGGCAACAGUGUGGGCAGCCCAGUGGGGUCAUGUUUGCACAAGCCCACCAUAGCUGCAUGGCUCCCUCUUCCCCAAGAUCCUUUGCAGCACGGCAUGGGCUGAUGUGAUAUGGAGAAAGUCUGCUGGGCAGCCAUGGAGAAUACGAAGAAGGCAAGGACACCUCCAGACAAGAUUUCAUUCCUGCUCACUCUGUUGUGAUGAAAACUAAGCUCCAGUUAGUUUGAUGGCUAAAACCAGCCCAACAGCUGAAAGAGUCUUGAAAGGAAAUCACAGAUUUUAGAGAAUGCAAUGUGAGAUUUACCUGUAGAUAUAUUCUGUUACCAUUUUUUAAAAACAAAUAUGUAUUUCUUAAUAUUCAGAACACUGGAGUUAUAUCACAAGGAAAGAGUCUGGGGUCAAUGAAGAUUUUUGAAUUUGCGCUUCUGCUGUGCUGGUCUUUCCACCUCCCAUCCCCCACCCUGGACUCCCACUGCUCUGACCCCUCCCACUGCGAGGCAGUCCUGGCUGGAACCCUGUACCGGAUGUUGAUGACCAGCCCAGGGGAACAGGAAUGGUAGUGGAACUUUCUGUUCAUUUUCCUGACACUCUGGAUGAGGAGGUCCUAUUUGGGGUUUCCUGAGAUUUUUUUAGCUUAGCUCUUUAAUGGUGUUUAAAAGCUCUGACACUGGGCUCUUCCCUCAUGAUCAGUGGAUAUAGGGGAGUGACUGGGACCUUGCAGCUGGCGUGCCUAUUUGGGAAAGAGGGGCAGAGGGUACCCAUAUCCUACGUCUCAACUCCAGCUCCUCUGGCCUGUCCAGGUUCUUCUGAAGGUCACCUAGAGUCGUUGAGUCGGCUGUCUCCCAGAUGCAUGGACAUAGCAGCCAAAAGGGCAGAUUCCCAGCCCAGAAACUUGGCCCACUGUUGCUCCCUUGUUGACAGCUGCUGCUGAAUCUCUGAGGUAAGGCCCAAAGUGGCCUUCCCCAGGUGGGCAGCAGCCCUCAGGGUGCAGGAGGGCAGGCUGUGCCCAGCAGAGGGAGAGUAGCCCUACCAGCUGGAAGGCGAGGCCUGGGUGACCCAACGGGCAGUAGCAGGUUUGUGUCUGGACUUUCCACCUUUCCCCUGGGCCACCCAGCAGGCUGGAGACCUGGAAUGGGGCUGGCAGGAUGAGCAGCCAUCUGGAGGCUAGGACAGCCUCCCUUCUGCUGGGCUCUGUUCAAGAGAUUUCCACUGGCUGCCCUUCCUCCCUCCUGCUGUUUCUGGUAUUUUCCGGGGCCAGUCUUGCACAGAGCAGGGUGGGCACCAUGGAGCCUCUGUGGGCAAAGGGCCACAGCUUACACUUCAGUUUCCAGGCAAGAGGCCCAGCCACCAGAUCAGUGAAUCAGGCGAAACCUGAGCCCCCAGAGCCUCCACACUGCCGUUUGAGAGGGUCGGAAAAGGGUGGUGUUUCAUCUGUUACCAUUUUUAAUUAAGAGAUUAAUUCAUUAAUUUUGAAACUGCAUACGCCUUCCUGUUCUUUACUCCUUGGUGCAAAAGCACAUGUCUCUUCCAUUCCCAAGAAAGAGGCCAAAUACUGGUGACCUCCC
Long non-coding RNA from Mustela erminea (ermine), 3209 nucleotides. RefSeq lists it as uncharacterized. NCBI's taxonomy places the organism in Eukaryota, Metazoa, Chordata, Mammalia, Carnivora, Mustelidae. The transcript has 3 exons. The record is from RefSeq and is a predicted model, not a curated record.